AUUGAACGCUGGCGGCGGCCUAACACAUGCAAGUCGAACGGUAACAGGAAGAAGCUUGCUUCUUUGCUGACGAGUGGCGGACGGGUGAGUAAUGUCUGGGAAACUGCCUGAUGGAGGGGGAUAACUACUGGAAACGGUAGCUAAUACCGCAUAACGUCGCAAGACCAAAGAGGGGGACCUUCGGGCCUCUUGCCAUCGGAUGUGCCCAGAUGGGAUUAGCUAGUAGGUGGGGUAACGGCUCACCUAGGCGACGAUCCCUAGCUGGUCUGAGAGGAUGACCAGCCACACUGGAACUGAGACACGGUCCAGACUCCUACGGGAGGCAGCAGUGGGGAAUAUUGCACAAUGGGCGCAAGCCUGAUGCAGCCAUGCCGCGUGUAUGAAGAAGGCCUUCGGGUUGUAAAGUACUUUCAGCGGGGAGGAAGGGAGUAAAGUUAAUACCUUUGCUCAUUGACGUUACCCGCAGAAGAAGCACCGGCUAACUCCGUGCCAGCAGCCGCGGUAAUACGGAGGGUGCAAGCGUUAAUCGGAAUUACUGGGCGUAAAGCGCACGCAGGCGGUUUGUUAAGUCAGAUGUGAAAUCCCCGGGCUCAACCUGGGAACUGCAUCUGAUACUGGCAAGCUUGAGUCUCGUAGAGGGGGGUAGAAUUCCAGGUGUAGCGGUGAAAUGCGUAGAGAUCUGGAGGAA
This 688-nucleotide ribosomal RNA is filed under the name uncultured Pseudomonadota bacterium. Its description in RNAcentral is "bacterial SSU rRNA". It matches the Rfam family "Bacterial small subunit ribosomal RNA", at positions 28 to 706 of the family's 1533-position model. Lineage: Bacteria; Pseudomonadati; Pseudomonadota. The record is from RNAcentral.